GACGAACGCUGGCGGCGUGCCUAACACAUGCAAGUCAACUUGACUGAAGGAGCAAUCUGACAGUAGAGUGGCGCAAGGGUGCGUAACGCGUAAGUAACUUGCCCCAAGGUAAGGAAUAACGUCGAGAAAUCGGCGCUAAUACCUCAUAAUGCAGCGGAUCCGCAUGGAUAAUGUUGUUAAAGGUUUACCGCCUUGGGAUAGGCUUGCGUCUGAUUAGCUAGUUGGUGUGGUAAACGGCACACCAAGGCUACGAUCAGUAACUGGUCUGAGAGGAUGAUCAGUCACACUGGAACUGAGACACGGUCCAGACUCUACGGGAGGCAGCAGUGAGGAAUAUUGGGCAAUGCUCGAAAGAGUGACCCAGCAACGCCGCGU
Molecule: ribosomal RNA, 375 nt
Filed under: uncultured bacterium
Lineage: Bacteria
Description: bacterial SSU rRNA
Rfam family: Bacterial small subunit ribosomal RNA
Source: RNAcentral